UGCUGGCUGUGGAACAGAGUCCUGU
This 25-nucleotide microRNA is filed under the name Equus caballus (horse). RNAcentral's name for it is "eca-miR-8979". Lineage: Eukaryota; Metazoa; Chordata; Mammalia; Perissodactyla; Equidae. The record is from miRBase by way of RNAcentral.